RNAcentral lists this ribosomal RNA (253 nucleotides) under uncultured bacterium. Its description in RNAcentral is "partial 16S ribosomal RNA". It matches the Rfam family "Bacterial small subunit ribosomal RNA", at positions 524 to 776 of the family's 1533-position model. The record is from RNAcentral.
UACGUAGGGGGCAAGCGUUAUCCGGAUUUACUGGGUGUAAAGGGAGCGUAGACGGCAGAGCAAGUCUGAAGUGAAAGCCCGCGGCCCAACUGCGGGACUGCUUUGGAAACUGCCCGGCUAGAGUGCUGGAGAGGUAAGCGGAAUUCCUAGUGUAGCGGUGAAAUGCGUAGAUAUUAGGAGGAACACCAGUGGCGAAGGCGGCUUACUGGACAGUAACUGACGUUGAGGCACGAAAGUGUGGGGAGCAAACAGG